Molecule: non-coding RNA, 866 nt
Organism: Rattus norvegicus (Norway rat)
Lineage: Eukaryota; Metazoa; Chordata; Mammalia; Rodentia; Muridae
Source: RefSeq, a predicted model, not a curated record
CACCUUUACCAUUUCAGGAAGUCACCCCUCCCACCCGCUGCCCUCUGAGAGGGGUACCUGCUGAGGCUGUUGGCAGUUGUCUUACUGGGUGACUUGACUUUGGGGAGGCAGGUGGGAAUCUAUUUGCCUGAGAAAGUUGUAAAUCCUGAGUCUCCUAGAUCUCUUUGGAAGACGCCAGCAAACUCCCCAGACAACUGCUCUGCCCCAGUACAAACUGACAUCUGUGCUGAAAGGGAAAAGUGGGCCUUUGGGCCCCGGGUGGUAACAACGGACCACAGGGCACGCGCCUGGCCCACCCUGAUCCCUGGCGCACCGGGGAGCCAAAAAGAUCACAAGGCCACAGGGCGUGGCGCGUGGGCUGUGGCUCCCUCAUGGAUCCCUCAUGCCCACUGAUGAAGCAAAGACCAAGACCCGAGGAUGCAAGCAGCUGCCUCCAGCUCUGCUGCCUUCGUGCCCUGGCAGCUACAAGGAGUCAAGUGUGGGUGCCAGGGAUCAUGGAAGCCUAGAACAUGGAAGCCCCACUUCCGAUGUUAAAAAGAAAGCCAACAGAGAGCUUGUGCCGCCUUGUCAGCCAACAAGAAACAGUGAUUUUUUUCCAGAGUGGAAGAGGAGAAGAACUAAAAUUAAUAUGGAUGGCUGUUAUCUCAAGGAAACCAGCUCUUCAUUUUAAGUCAGAAUAAUAGAAAAGAACUGUGUCGAUACUUUGGCAUCAACAGGCUACGGCAGGAUGUCCCCACCCCACCAGACCUCUGAACUCCCAGGACCACCAGUCUCUUGAGGGUUAGGUACAUCUUCUCUGACUGAACUCAGACCUGGAGUCCUCUGCUGCACACGUGUUGGAGGCCUCAUCUCAGCUGGUGUAUGCU